Molecule: long non-coding RNA, 1476 nt
Organism: Lucilia cuprina (Australian sheep blowfly)
Lineage: Eukaryota; Metazoa; Arthropoda; Insecta; Diptera; Calliphoridae
Exons: 3
Source: RefSeq, a predicted model, not a curated record
CAUUAAAAUGUCUUUAAGGGAAUUUCUUAUAUUCAUCUACGAAAAUGUUUUGGCCUUAAUUUUGGAAUACGAACUAUUUGUUCUGACUAUAAUAAUGAUGUUAGUAGUCAUGGUGACUUUAAGGGAUCUGUUACUAACCUAUAUUCUAAUAACAUUUGGGGCAGAUAACGAAACAAAUUUAAUUACACAAUAAAAGAAAAAAUGAAUAAAAAAUACCCACCUCUUCCUCGCUUAAGUGUAAAGAAGAAUGUUUAACUGAACCAUAGCGUUGUAUGUGACCAGAACCAGAAAGGUCUGUGCGGGAGCGAGCAUAUUCGGGUAUGUUGAUAAGAUAACUUGUAUUUUAGUUAAUCUUCAUCAACUUACUUGAUAUAAAAUAUCUUGUCUAUACAUAGUACCACUUCCGGAUUUUUCUCUAUGGGAUUCCUUUAAUUGUGCCAAAUGAGGUUGACUCAAUGAAACCUUAAUAAUGUCAUCAUUGCUGGUACUUUUGGAAACAACAGAAAUAUCCAUUUUACCAUUAGCCGAACCAUUAAGUUUGGAAUCCUAAAGAAUAAAAUUAAGAGUUGUCAAACUCAUUUAACAAAUAUUUUAAUAUAAUAGACUUACCGAGUUCUUAAAAGUAUGACCCACACUAUUGGAUCUACACAAAGCUCCACCAUUAGCAUCAGUCUUGGGUAAUUGUAAAUAUUGAUCUGCUUGUUUGACAUUUGGCUUUAAAGGUUCCAAUUCAGCUGGUGUGGUAUGACCAUCAAUAAUUUUCUUCUUGUUUUUGGGUUUGGGUGGUUCUAAAGGUCUAAACAUGGCACCAAAUAUGAUACAAUUCAAAACCACACCACCAAUGAUUAGCAAGGCUCCCCGCCAGCCAUACGAACCAAUUAAAUGUUCGGUAAGGGGAGCAAAUACGAAUGUGCCAAAACCAGAACCACAUACGGCAAUACCAGUGGCCAGUGAUCUCUUGGCUUCGAAAUAAGUACUAACACUGACAAUGGCUGGCAGGUAGAUGAGACCAAAACCCAAACCGGUACCCAGACCAAUGGUAAUAAUGAGGAAUGAGGCCAAAAUAGAUCCAGCUAUCGUAACCGCUCUGCAGCCAUAACGAUUUACAAAUGAUGAUGAUAUGGGACCUUUGUUGAUAAAGAAAACAAAAAUAUAUUUAAUAUUAUUUACAAAAGCCUUAACUUAUGCCACAUUUUACUAUACACUUUUAUUAGUUUAUUCGUAAUAUAGUGCCACCGAAAAGUGUGCGUUCAUUUGGAAGAAAAGCUUUUUCUAGUGUUCGAUUCUGAUUUUAUGUAGUUUUAUAAACCAAUAAUGAAGUACAUUCAACUUGUUAAAAUAUUGUUAUUUUUUUUAUAACUUACCCGAAGCAAAUGUUACUCCCACCAUAAUUGAUACAAUCCAUGCUGUGUAACCUUUGCCCUCAUUGAAAUAUGUCAGGAAUUCAUCGUAAAACAGACCAAAGGAAUAUGUCAU